This 1332-nucleotide ribosomal RNA is filed under the name Colletotrichum salicis. RNAcentral's name for it is "SSU rRNA". It matches the Rfam family "Eukaryotic small subunit ribosomal RNA", at positions 64 to 1429 of the family's 1831-position model. Lineage: Eukaryota; Fungi; Ascomycota; Sordariomycetes; Glomerellales; Glomerellaceae. The record is from RNAcentral.
UGUAAACAAUUACAUAGUGAAACUGCGAAUGGCUCAUUAUAUAAGUUAUCGUUUAUUUGAUAGUUCCUUACUACUUGGAUAACCGUGGUAAUUCUAGAGCUAAUACAUGCUAAAAACCCCGACUUCGGAAGGGGUGUAUUUAUUAGAUUAAAAACCAAUGCCCUUCGGGGCUCACUGGUGAUUCAUAAUAACUUCUCGAAUCGCAUGGCCUUGCGCCGGCGAUGGUUCAUUCAAAUUUCUUCCCUAUCAACUUUCGAUGCUAGAGUAGUGUUCUAGCAUGGUUACAACGGGUAACGGAGGGUUAGGGCUCGACCCCGGAGAAGGAGCCUGAGAAACGGCUACUACAUCCAAGGAAGGCAGCAGGCGCGCAAAUUACCCAAUCCCGACACGGGGAGGUAGUGACGAUAAAUACUGAUACAGGGCUCUUUUGGGUCUUGUAAUUGGAAUGAGUACAAUUUAAAUCCCUUAACGAGGAACAAUUGGAGGGCAAGUCUGGUGCCAGCAGCCGCGGUAAUUCCAGCUCCAAUAGCGUAUAUUAAAGUUGUUGUGGUUAAAAAGCUCGUAGUAGAACCUUGGGCCUGGCUGGCCGGUCCGCCUCACCGCGUGCACUGGUCCGGCCGGGCCUUUCCCUCUGUGGAACCGCAUGCCCUUCACUGGGUGUGCCGGGGAAACAGGACUUUUACUUUGAAAAAAUUAGAGUGCUCCAGGCAGGCCUUUGCUCGAAUACAUUAGCAUGGAAUAAUAGAAUAGGACGUGUGGUUCUAUUUUGUUGGUUUCUAGGACCGCCGUAAUGAUUAAUAGGGACAGUCGGGGGCAUCAGUAUUCAAUUGUCAGAGGUGAAAUUCUUGGAUUUAUUGAAGACUAACUACUGCGAAAGCAUUUGCCAAGGAUGUUUUCAUUUAUCAGGAACGAAAGUUAGGGGAUCGAAGACGAUCAGAUACCGUCGUAGUCUUAACCAUAAACUAUGCCGACUAGGGAUCGGACGAUGUUAUUUUUUGACUCGUUCGGCACCUUACGAGAAAUCAAAGUGCUUGGGCUCCAGGGGGAGUAUGGUCGCAAGGCUGAAACUUAAAGAAAUUGACGGAAGGGCACCACCAGGGGUGGAGCCUGCGGCUUAAUUUGACUCAACACGGGGAAACUCACCAGGUCCAGACACAAUGAGGAUUGACAGAUUGAGAGCUCUUUCUUGAUUUUGUGGGUGGUGGUGCAUGGCCGUUCUUAGUUGGUGGAGUGAUUUGUCUGCUUAAUUGCGAUAACGAACGAGACCUUAACCUGCUAAAUAGCCCGUAUUGCUUUGGCAGUACGCCGGCUUCUUAGAGGGACUCUCGGCUC